This 996-nucleotide small RNA is filed under the name Pongo abelii (Sumatran orangutan). RNAcentral's name for it is "retained intron". Lineage: Eukaryota; Metazoa; Chordata; Mammalia; Primates; Hominidae. The record is from RNAcentral.
UUCCCCCACCCUCCAAACCCUGUCACCAGUCUCACCCUGGGCCCCAGCAUGCCCCGCAGCCACCCUGCCGGCAACACCUGAGCCUCCCCUAAGCUCUCACCCUGGGUCUGGUCAUCCCUGUCUCUGCCUCUAGAUCCGAGGAAUGGGCAUGAACUCCCCGGAGCUGCUCCUGCUGGUGGAAAAUUGUCCCAAGGGGGCAGAGACACUGGUCACGCGAUGUCUGCACAGCCUCACAGACAAAGUCCCACCCUCCCCGGAGCUGGUGAAGCGGGUCCGGGAUCUCUACCACAAGCGACUGCCAGACGUCCGCUUCCUCAUCCCGGUGCUCAAUGGGCUGGAGAAGAAAGAGGUGAUCCAGGCCCUGCCUAAACUCAUCAAACUCAACCCCAUCGUGGUGAAGGAAGUCUUCAACCGCCUGCUGGGCACCCAGCAUGGUGAGGGAAACUCAGCCUUGUCCCCGCUGAACCCUGGAGAGCUCCUAAUCGCAUUACACAACAUCGACUCCGUGAAGUGCGACAUGAAAUCCAUCAUCAAAGCCACCAACCUGUGCUUUGCGGAGCGGAACGUGUACACGUCAGAGGUGCUGGCCGUGGUGAUGCAGCAGCUGAUGGAGCAGAGCCCCCUGCCCAUGCUGCUCAUGAGGACCGUCAUCCAGUCCCUGACCAUGUACCCCCGCCUGGGGGGCUUCGUCAUGAACAUCCUGUCCCGCCUCAUCAUGAAGCAGGUGUGGAAGUACCCCAAGGUGUGGGAGGGCUUCAUCAAGUGCUGCCAGCGCACCAAGCCCCAGAGCUUCCAGGUCAUCCUGCAGCUGCCGCCCCAGCAGCUGGGAGCUGUCUUUGACAAGUGCCCGGAGCUCCGGGAGCCCCUGCUGGCCCAUGUCCGCUCCUUCACCCCCCACCAGCAAGCUCACAUCCCUAACUCCAUCAUGACCAUCUUGGAGGCCAGCGGCAAGCAGGAGCCAGAGGCCAAGGAGGCGCCUGCGGGGCCCUUGGAGGA